GAAAAGCUUCAUCCUCGAAUCGAUACCUGGAUCAAACACAAAAAACGAGGGAUGAAUGAUGAUAAAGCACUUGUAAUUAUUAAACUUACCAAGUUUAUAACAAGAGGAAAUGAUAGAAUGCCAUGUAUCAUUCUAAGACCCAUGAUACGGCCUAACAACUCAUUUGAAUGAAUAGAAGCUUCAAAAUAACAUGCAAGCAUCCGAACAAGUAAACUUUCUAAAGCGACUCGAUAAAGUCGAUGUGUCACACAACUUGCAUGCAUAACAUAUAAGGUAGGACAAAGAAUUUCAUGCAAAUAAAUUACUUUAAACACUAUAUUUAUCAACCCACAAACUUCAAAUAUAUCAUAAACACAAACACAAAGAUGGCAUGACUUAAUGGAAAUGAACAACACAUAAGGACUCGAAACUAGACUUAUACCAUUAAGACAAACACAACUUACAAAAUGACUCAAAUUGACUCAAAUUGACUCUAGUAUGACCAAUAUUACGCAACAAACAACUCUAUUAAGAUGAGAAACAAACACAUACUUAACUAACACAAAUUGAUUAUCCAUAUUAUGCACAUAGACAACCUCACCCUCUGGCUUUGAUACCAGACGUUUAAGGGGGAAGUAGGGUGAUGGCUAUAUUUCUCUACUUAUUAUGAUGUUGCUAGUGUAGAUCUACAAGUUUAGAUCUGUCUGAUAAGAUUGUUUAACUUCAUGAUUACUAUCUAAUGUAAUCAAACUUGUUAUAAUAUUGAUAGUAUCGAUCUAUGAACUUAGAUCUGUCAUAUGGAUAUGGAGCCUGUAAUUGCCAACCUCCGGUCCAGACAAUAAGGCCAUGGGAUUUAGCAGUAAGUCCUACAGGGAUGUUGAGAUUCUUGUGGUCCGAGAUCCAGGACGGUGAAGUGUUCAAAGGAUCAGAUCUAACUUCAUAGAUUCAUACUACUGAUAUUAUAAAUUUGUUUGGAAAUAUAGUCGUCAUGCAUUGUUAAUCUUUCUCAAAAGAUUAGAUCUAUUCUUAUAACAUCCUCACUAUCUUUAUUAUAAUCAGUUUAGAAAUAUAGUUAUCCUCCAUGGAUCCCGAAGGAUUCUAUACCAAAGGGAACGAGAUCAUAAGAUUAUCCUUUUACUAGUCUUUUUGCAGUUUUUGUUAUUACUUUCUCAUAGCUUCAUUUGUUAGGACAAACUUUUUGUUCAAGUUCGUGGGAUUGAAACCAGUUAAAGUCCAUCCGCGGGAUUGAAGCCAGUUGAAAUCCAUGGAAAUAUCAAUUCAAAUUCAACAUUGAAGUCCGCCAAACACCUAUAUAAAUAGGUAGACGACAUAUGAAGAAGGCAAUCGAGAAAUCAACAGUCUUGAAAAUUUUCUCUCAUGUUCAGUAAAUAAAGAGAUAGAGAGAGAGAGAGAGAGAGUGUGUGUGUGUGUGUGUAGUGUGCUAAGCCUAUAUCUUAUACUAAAACUUUCUUCACUAAUAAAAGAAGCAAGUUUCAUCACAACUUUUCAUAUUUACAUCUAAGUACACUUAGAGGUAGGAAACGAAACUAAGUUGCACUGCAAGACUUUGAAGGGGCUUUUAAAGGAAGUCACCCUGGUGGUUGGAGGCUGCAAUACCCAAGUAAGAAAUACUUUGGGAGGUAGCAGGAAUUUUAUCGGUCAAAAAUCAGAUCUAAGGUAUGGAAGCGUAUUGGACCCCUUUCUUUUGUUAAUAAGAAAUUGUUAGUCAUGAUAUAGUUUGCACUCUAUUCUCUUGAAAAUUUUUAUGGAAGAUAUUCAAACCUAUUUAGUACCUUAUCAAUAAAUAUUACACAUCCUAAAUACACUUUAGAAAUAAAAAUAUUUUUUACAUCUAGAAUAAUAAAUAUGAAUAUCUUGCUAGCCAACUCAAGUUUAAAUUUUGACUUAAAUUUGGGCACCAAAAUGGUAUCAGAGCCUAUAAAUGAUCCCACAAUUCUCAGAAAUAAUCUACAUAUUCCCUUAAGUAAUAACAAUGAUUAUAUUUCUGAUGAAGAAUUUGAAGCAAACUCAGUACCUAUUAGAUAUUUUGAAUAAUGGAAUAGAAUUUGAUGAUUCUGAUUGGCACUAUCCAUCUCGUUAAAAUGGAAGAAUGUCAAAUAUGUGAUUCAAUAUUAUUUUUUAUUAAAGAAUAUGCAUAUCAGUUACAACAAUUAAAUGAAAGAAUUACAUAUUAUCAAGAAAGGUGGGUUCAUGUCACUUUGUAUAAUUGUAAUCCAGUUACCUGCCAUAAUAGAUACAAGAUCUUAAGAGAAAUUGAACAUGAAAAAUAUUUAAUAACUAAUAAAUAUGCAAAACUAAAUAAAGACGUUACUGAUCAUUAGAGAGAAACUCAUUUAAAUCCACCAUGAAUUCUUACGAAAGAAUAGCAUAUUGCCAAGAAUGUCAAAAAUUUAUUAGUAAAGGUCUAACAGCCAAAUCUAAAAUAAAUAAAGUAAAACAACUUAUUGUUAAAUAUUCCUUUGAAGAAAUAGUAUUAGAAGUAUUAACUAUAUUAUUAGAAAUAGAAAAGAAAAUUUUGAAAAAAGUUGUACGAGAAAGAAAUUUACAUUUAGUAAGAACUCAUACACGAAUUAAGACAAUUACAAAAUAAUAGAACCUAGAAAUUUAAAAAUAGAGAAAGACUUAUUUGAAAUACAAAGAACAAUGUUAUACAUACAUCAAGAUCUGAAGAAAGAAAUUCAAAUAAUUAAAGAAAAACUAGAAAAAAAAUAAAUUCAGAAGAAAAAACUACCCAAUAAAGAAAUAAAACCACUAUAGAAUACCUAUCGGAACAUGUUGCUAAAAUAAAAUGAGUGAGUCUAAAGAUAACUUUACUUGUCUCUCAGAUUCUGAAAUAGCAAAUAUAAGUAACAAACUUAAUAAUCUGAUGAUAAAUAUAAAAUCGGAUACGAAACUAGAAAUAUGCCCAAAUAUAAAUGAUAUACCUUCAUCCAGUAAACCCGCCUCCUCAUAUGCUAGGCGUAAACCUGAUUUAGGAAACUCUUUCAUUUCAUCAUUAAUGACUAUAGCAAAGCAAAAAGGCUAGUUAGACAAUGAAGACCAUACACUUUUAGAUAGGAUCACACCUGAAACUAUAUUUCCUUUUGAAACAUUUUUAGAUUUAGACUGUGUAAAAAAUACAGAAGAAGCGAUAGAUAAAUGAAAAUUUAGAUCAAGAUUAGCUGCUUUUAUAAAUAAAUUAUCAUAUGAAGAGUCAAAAGAAUUUUUAGAAAGAUAUCUAGCAAAUAGCGUCUCUCGAUAUUGGAAGACAUUAUCAGAAGAGAUUAAAACAAUAAUAGAUGGAGAAGAACAAGAUACAAAUGGUAUAAUAACUAAAACACUUGAAUUAUUCGUUUUGAAUUUGUUGGUGAAGGAAGUUAUUUUAAAGAUGCUAAUUCAGUUAAAAAAUAUGCUAAUGCAUUACUUAAAUUAACACUAUGUGAUAUGUGUGAAAUAGAUAAGUAUAUCUGUGUUUUUCAAGAUUAUUAUUAUAGAACAAAUUGAAGAAAAGAGAAACAUAUUUAGAAAUAUUUUUCUCAAAAAUUUCUGACCCAUUGGGUAAGAAAUUAAGAGAAAAAUAUAAUCCUAGAACUAAAGAUACUCUAGGAAAAAAAUAUUCCAUACAUUAGAUAAAUUAAAUAAAUGGUGUGAAGAAUUCAUAUUCUUUAUAAAGACACGUAAUAUAAAAUAUCAAUUGAGACUAUAUUGUAAUAAUAUUAAUAUGCCUACCCAAAUAGGAUAUGCUAGUCCAUAUUAUUAACAUAAGAUGAAAAAUAGAUAUAAAAAAUGAAAGUAUUUUAAAAGAAAAUAUAUGAAAAGAAAAAAGGCUAAAUACCACAAAUGUAGAGAAAAUUUUUCAAAAAAGAAAAGAUAUAUAGGAAAAAUAAAAGAAAAAGAAAUAUAACAGAUUGUCAAUAUUAUUUUUGUAAAAGAAAAGGACACUUACAAAUCAAUGUCCUAAAAAAUUUAAUAAAAAGAGAUUUGAAGUGGAUGAUGAUAUUGAAGACUUGAUUAACAAUAAUGAAUUAAUAAAAAUAAAUAGAUUUGCAGAAAUAAAAGAAAUUUCUUCCAAUGAAAGUAUAUUUAUCUUUACAGAUACAGAAUACGAAAUAUGCAGUGAAGAUGAGUGAAAUAGAAGAAGAGAAAAAGAAUUCUUCUAAAAUGUUAGAUAUUCAUUCAGAAAAAUUAGGUGAAUAUAGCCAAGAAGCACUUAUAGAUAGAAAAAUAUUAACAAAAAUUCAAAUAAAGUAAUUUUUUGAUGAGAUGUCUUUGAAACCGGAUUUUAGCUGGAAACAGACACUUCAAAGGAUACCCAUGAUGGAUAAUAUAAUUAAUGAGCACCUGCUUGUUUCUGAAUCCAAUUCUCACAUGAGAGAAUUAUAUGCCUUAUAAAAAUAACUUCCUUCACCAACAAAUUCAAAACGAAUUAAUUCAAGUGCUCUAGUUGUCAUAUCAUUUGUAUCUUGUUCUUCUUCAUAUAUUAUUGUUUUAGUCUCUUCUGAUAAUGUCUUCCAAUAUCGAGAGAUGCUAUUUACUAGAGAUCUUUCAAAAAACCCUUUUGACUUUUGAUAUGAUAAUUUAUUUAUAGAAACAGCUAAUUUUAAUCCAAUUUUUCAUUUAUCUAUCACUUCUUCUAUAUUUUUUCAUUUAUCUAUCACUUCUUCUAUAUUUUUUACACAGUCUAAAUUUAAAAAUAUUUCAAAAGAAAAUAUAGUUUCAGGUAUGGUCCUAUCUAAAAGUGUAUAACCUCCAUUAUCUAAAUAGCCUUUUUGUAUAGCUAUAUUCAUUAAUGAAAAAUGAAAAAGUUUCCUGCACCAGGUUUAAGCAUAGCAUAUAAGGAGACAGGUCUACUGGAUGAAGAUAUAUUAAAAAUGUUCCAAAUUUAGACACAGUCUAAAUUUAAAAAUGUUCCAAAAGAAAAUAUAGUUCCAAGUGUGGUCCUAUCUAAAAUUGUAUAACUUUCAUUGUCUAAAUAGCCUUUUUGCUUUGCUAUAUUCAUUAAUGAUGAAAUAAAAGAGUUUCCUGAACCAAUUGACGCCUAACAUAUGAGGAGGUAGGUCCACUAGAUGAAGGUAUAUCAUUUAUAUUUGGGUUUAUUUCUGGUUUCAUAUCCGAUUUUAUAUUUAUUUUCAAAUUAUUAAGUUUGUUACUUAUAUUUUCUAUUUUAGAAUCUAAGAGACAAGUAAAGUUAUUUUCAGACUCACUCAUUUUAUUUUAGCAAUAUGUUCUGUUAGGUAUUCCAUAGUGGUUUUAUUUCUUUAUUCGGUAGUUUUUUCUUCUAAAUUUAUUUUUUCUAGUUUUUCUUUAAUUAUUUGAAUUUUUUUCUUCAGGUCUUUAUAUAUAUAAUAUUGUUCUUGUAUUUCAAAUAAGUCUUUCUCUAUUUUUAAAUUUUCAGGUUCUAUUAUUUUGUAAUUGUCCAAAUUUAUGUAUGAGUUCUUACUAAAUGUAUAUUUCUUACUCGUACAACUUUUUCCAAAUUUUUCUUUUCUAUUUCUAAUAAUAUAUUUAAUGCUUCUAAUACUAUUUCUUCAGAGGAAUAUUUAACAAUAAGUUGUCUUACCUUAUUUAUUUUAACUUUAGCUGCUAGAUCUUUACUAAUAAAUUUGUGUUAUUCUUUCAUAAGAAUUCAUGGUGGAUUUUAAUGAGCUUCUCUAUUAUAAGGAUCGAAGACAACCUAAGAGAGGGGUGAAUUAGGUUGAUUAUAAAGCUAAUCAAGUUAUGGGCACUUUUUGACUCAAUAUGAAAUUUACCCUUUUUUUUAAGUGAUCACACAAUGAAUCAAUCAAUGGAUGAACAAUAUCACUUGAGAGAAGUAGAAGAUAUAAGCAAUUUAAAGAUCACAAGAUAACAAUAAAUAAAUAAGAAGGGAAGAAUUGCAAACCAAUUGACUACCAAACUCCUCUUGAACUUGUAGAUCAAUUCAAACAAACUUCUUCAAAUUGAUGAAAUGCAACCAAUCUUGUGUACAAAGGAAGGCUCACUUCCUCCUUGCCCAAUCUCCACUUGGUCAAACUAGGAACUUUUACUAUCCCUCAGGACAACCCUCAUAGAGUUACAUUAUUGAAGUAUUCACUCACAAAUGAAAAACUAACAAU
Molecule: long non-coding RNA, 6074 nt
Filed under: Coffea arabica (coffee)
Lineage: Eukaryota; Viridiplantae; Streptophyta; Magnoliopsida; Gentianales; Rubiaceae
Description: long non-coding RNA (CARA_LNC005367)
Source: RNAcentral